AUGCUCACUUUGGCAGUACAUAUACUAACACUGGAAGGAUACAGGGAAGAUUAGCAUGGCCCCUGCACUAGGAUGACACACAAAUUUAUGAAGCAUUCCGUAUUUUU
Cercocebus atys (sooty mangabey) is the source of this 107-nucleotide small nuclear RNA. The record is from Ensembl. NCBI's taxonomy places the organism in Eukaryota, Metazoa, Chordata, Mammalia, Primates, Cercopithecidae.